UACAGAGGGUGCAAGCGUUGCUCGGAAUCACUGGGCGUAAAGGGCGCGUAGGCGGCGUUUUAAGUCGGGGGUGAAAGCCUGUGGCUCAACCACAGAAUGGCCUUCGAUACUGGGACGCUUGAGUAUGGUAGAGGUUGGUGGAACUGCGAGUGUAGAGGUGAAAUUCGUAGAUAUUCGCAAGAACACCGGUGGCGAAGGCGGCCAACUGGACCAUUACUGACGCUGAGGCGCGAAAGCGUGGGGAGCAAACAGG
This 253-nucleotide ribosomal RNA is filed under the name uncultured bacterium. Its description in RNAcentral is "partial 16S ribosomal RNA". It matches the Rfam family "Bacterial small subunit ribosomal RNA", at positions 524 to 776 of the family's 1533-position model. The record is from RNAcentral.